Long non-coding RNA from Octopus sinensis (East Asian common octopus), 137 nucleotides. RefSeq lists it as uncharacterized. The record is from RefSeq and is a predicted model, not a curated record. NCBI's taxonomy places the organism in Eukaryota, Metazoa, Mollusca, Cephalopoda, Octopoda, Octopodidae. The transcript is spliced from 3 exons.
ACAUAGAUACAUACUUAUGUACAUACAUAAAUAUCAAAUUAAAUACACAACCGAAAGAGCUACCAAUAGUUUCAUACUUUUAUGAUAUUUGAACAGGCGUAACUAUAAAAUACGCCAUGUAUUUUAAAGCAAUCUUU